RNAcentral lists this ribosomal RNA (252 nucleotides) under uncultured bacterium. Its description in RNAcentral is "partial 16S ribosomal RNA". It matches the Rfam family "Bacterial small subunit ribosomal RNA", at positions 524 to 776 of the family's 1533-position model. The record is from RNAcentral.
UACGUAGGUCCCGAGCGUAGUCCGGAUUUAUUGGGCGUAAAGCGAGCGCAGGUGGUUUAUUAAGUCUGGUGUAAAAGGCAGUGGCUCAACCAUUGUAUGCAUUGGAAACUGGUAGACUUGAGUGCAGGAGAGGAGAGUGGAAUUCCAUGUGUAGCGGUGAAAUGCGUAGAUAUAUGGAGGAACACCGGUGGCGAAAGCGGCUCUCUGGCCUGUAACUGACACUGAGGCUCGAAAGCGUGGGGAGCAAACAGG